UAAAUACUUGAUAAAUCUCCCUUUAAGGUACAUUUUGAACUGAUAAAAAAUGUGCGAUUGAUUAUUUGAAUCGAUUGACAGCCCUAAAAAAUCCUUUGGUAAAUUUCAAACAACACAUGCUCUGUAGAGGUCACUUUCAUUGAAAGUACACAAAUUAAAAAAGGUCGAAAAACUCAUUAAAACUUAUCAGUCAAAAGUAAAAUAAAUCACAAAAAGGAAAAUAUACAUGUAGGAAACAUAUUGUGUGUAGGUCUGAGGGCUUAUUCAGUACCUCUACCUAAAUAAUACAGAAUAGCAGUUACUCUAGGAUAAAAGAAAAAAGACAUUAUAAAACGGAAGUAAAGUUUCUUCCUUUUUAAAAAUGUUCUGUAAGACUUUCGUUACAAAAUCUUGGAUUAUGACAAAAAAAAUCAAUAAAGAAACCCGACAAUAGUUUGAUUAGUUUUAAAGUCACGUCUGAACUCUGCAUGCUCUCAGCGCGGUAGAUGCUUCCAGCUUAAGUUUAGUGAAAUCUGCUGCUGUAGAGACUCUGACUGAAGCAGUAAAAACAUUUCCGCAAUGUAGUCAGAGAAUAAAACGAGUCCAGAUCCAAAGCGUCAACGUAACGGCGUCCACUCCAUCUUUUCUCAACGGUUCAAGGGGGGGGGGGGGAGGCGAGAGGUGCAGAGCAGCAUGGAGAGGUAAUGAUGCUCUUUGCUUUCCCAUUAUCCUCUCACCACGGUUGGAUGCACACUGCACGACCCCCCCUCCUCCAGCUGUAUGAGAGAGGACAUCCAGUCAUCUGCAGGAUGUAACAUAAAGCCUAAUGGAGACCGGACAGUCUACAGUACCGCUGUCAAUCAAACCUGCCAACGCUUCUUGUGAAAUAAAAAAGGAAAAGAAACCGCUGAGCUGAAUGCCCACACUGCCUCUCAGGAAAAGCUCCAAACCUGCAAAAAAAAAAAAAAAAACGAUUCAGAAGAGAAAAUAGAGUCGAUUUGUCAGCGCUGCAGCGACAUUUCACUGUCACACCUCACAGUGCUGCAUUAACGUAGGAAACAAGACACAUUCAGGCACAACUAGAACACACGAGCAGCUAGAAAACACAUUUUUAAAAAUCUAAGCAUGACGAGAACAAAAAGAAGACAUUAACAGAAUAAUUGAUGUAUUCUGUAUCUCAGUGUUGCUGUUUGAGCUGCUUUUGGAUUCAAACCUCACCCCUACGCAGUUUUGAAAAACUAAAGUUUAAAACGCGUUCUGAACACAGAGGUCACAUCGUUCUAUCAUCCCGAAGACGGAGCACUUGAAUGUUGUUUUUAAUGGUACGACAGCUUUAUUUGGCCAAUUUAUUUUAUUUACUACAGGUUUGAGUCUGUGACAGAAUCUAUCUUCAUACAUUUAGAUUUUUAUUUGUUUUUUAUCCACAUUAUGUGCGGUUGUGUACUUUGAAAGUAAAGCUGAUUAUACACGCCGCAAACAUCUGUUUCUAGUGCUGCAAACAGCUGUUUCUAGUGGGCCAGAAACAUCUGUUUCUAUGCACCUACGUGCUGCAAACAGCUGUUCCUAGCGGGCCGCAAACAGCUGUUUCUAUGCGCCGCAAACAGCUGUUUCUAGCAAGCUGCAAACAGCUGUUUCUAUGCGCUCCAAACAGCUUUUUCUAUGCGACCAUACGCUCCAAACAGCUGUUUCUAUGCGCUCCAAACAGAUGUUUCUAGUGUCGCAAACAGCUGUUUCUAUGUGCUCCAAAUGGCUGUUUCUAUGUGCUCCAAAUAGCUGUUUCUAUGCACUCAAAACAGCUGUUUCUAGUGCCGCAAACAGCUGUUUCUAGUGCAGCAAACAGCUGUUUCUAUUGCCGCAAACAGCUAUUUCUAUGCGCCUACGCGCUACAAACAGUUAUUUCUAGUGCCGCAAACAGCUGUUUUUAUGCACCUAUGCGCUGCAAACAGCUGUUUCUAGUGUUGCAAACAGCUGUUUCUAUGCACAUAUGCGCUGCAAACAGCUGUUUCUAGUGCUGCAAACAGCUGUUUCUAUGUGCCUAUGCGCUGCAAACAACUGUUUCUAGUGCUGCAAACAGCUGUUUCUAUGCGCCUACGGGCCGCAAACAGCUGUUUCUACGCCAUCGUUCAUAAAUUUAAAAUAUAUUUAGUGCUCUGAUAGUGCUACGUUCUUAUCUGAGUGCAUGAAUAAAUCAAUGAAUUUUGUUUUAUGAAAAGAAAAAAGCCCCCCGCCGCUAUUUUUACCAGCCUCCUCAGUCAGAGGAUAAGAUAAAUAGGAUAAGGAAAGCAGGAUGAGAACCAUACAGUAACUAACAAGGGCUACAAAGUGAACAAUGUCGUACUCAGUGUAUUGAUUCAAUAUAAACAAAUAGACAGAGUUAUUUUGGAGUAUGAAUGAGUAACUAGGAAACUCACGCAUGCUAGCUAACAAGCUUUGCAUUGCUUUCCGUGAAAAAAUUAACUCCAUAUAAAUAUAAAUAAUGAAAAUUACAACCGUUUUAAGGGGUGAGGAUCACAUUUUCAGUUGCUGAUUUAUCGUCUUGGAACAAAACUCUUUGAACUCAACAUACGUUUUCAACAUUAAUUUAAAAAAAUCAGAAUGUAAUUGAUCCAAACCAGCUGAAGAGUCUGGAUUCAUGUUUCAGAUAAACAAUGAUCACUGUGUGUUUUUAUCUGUCAACAAAUAAAACAUGUCUGAACGGAAA
Long non-coding RNA from Sebastes umbrosus (honeycomb rockfish), 2680 nucleotides. RefSeq lists it as uncharacterized. The transcript has 2 exons. The record is from RefSeq and is a predicted model, not a curated record. Lineage: Eukaryota; Metazoa; Chordata; Actinopteri; Perciformes; Sebastidae.